UAAGACACAGAUGAAAACAUGCGUGCCCUGACUGACCUUUUAGAUGUUGUUGAUUGUCUGGGUCCAUAAAGGGAGGGUCACAGGGUCACCCCUACAUCAUCUGCUACUUUUCCCACAUUCCUCUUGAGGGGUGGGCUGUCCUGUCCUGAGGCAGCACAAACCCCCCUAAGUGUAUAAAACCUCCUGUUCUCCUCUUUGACUUUGUCAGAUCUUCCUGCUCCUUUUGGGGGAAGGAACCUCUGUCCCUUUUCAGCUGAAUUGUAGUCUUUUGACUUCUGUCUGUGCUUACGACUUGUGCUGAUGAUUUCUGUAUUCUUUAUCUUUUGCCUUUACUCUAGUUAGUAAUAAAUACUUAAUCACAAAGCAAGCUCAAGAUACUUUUGAUUUCUCACAUGGGCUAAAUCCACAAAUUUCCACCACAAACUUGGCGACGAGGAUGGGAUGGACGCGUGAUCUAGACUCUGACGGACGGACAGAAGGCCAUUUAGUAUAGGUGAUUCCUCCCUGAGGGUGAGAAGCUGCCGUCCCGACGAGACCCGGAUUGCCGAUCCAUCCAUUUCAAGAAAAGAAACGAACAACACGCGGUGAGAAAUCAAAAUUAUUUUUAAGGCAGACAGAGUCAUGACAAAAGGGUUUUAGGCCUAUCUCACAACGAGUGUGUUGUAGACAGACGUGUCUGGGUCACCUAUAGUAUUCGUCACAAGGUUGCAACAUCCUGUGUCUGAAGUUCACAGGCGCAACUUUGGAUCAAUGCAGUAGACUGAGUGACCAGAGAAAGCAACGGUCAACUGACUUGCCUUAGUUAUGCAUGUGGUAUUUCUCCGUUUGUGCGCACCUUUAUAGGCGCGUACACUCCUUGUAUACAGAUACAGAUAGCUAAAUGGGUAGUGUUCAGAGUAAAGGGGAGACGGGUGAUAACCAUGAGACUAAUAUCCUGCCACUAUUGUGUAAAUUUAUGUCAGAGCGUUAUCCUGGCAGUUUGAAUCAAAUACAAAAAUGGGUUGAAUUGGGGUUCCCUUUAAAGGGGAGUUUGAGUAAGAAUCAUUUGGAGCAGUUGGAAUUGCAACUUAGGGGGAAGGAGGAGAACGAUGCAGCUCAGCAUGCAGGCCGGUCGGGAAGAAAGCAGAAGAAGAAUGUGGUAUGUAAGGCAGAUUGGGAAGCUUUCAAGAUGUGGAAGUAUGAGUCGGAGAGAAGGGAGAGACAGAGGUUGGUAGCAUUUAAUUCAUUAAAGACCAAAGAUCCUACAAAAAGUUCUGAAACGUGUACCCCUUCUAACCCAAAAACACUUUAUCCUUGUUUUUAUGAGUUCCUGCGGAUAUUGGUGGACACGGAUCUGGACUCCCCCCCUCCCCUCACUGCUCCUCCAGCUCCCGCCUUCAUGAGCCCACAGUCUCCACGGCAGGAAGCAGCACAAACAACCUUUCCUCGGCUUGACAACAGCCCACCAGGAGGGAAGCCAGAUUCAACCUCAAACACCAGCCAGACGACCUUUUCACCUACUGUGACCCACUCGCAGGCUCAACAAAGGUGGGCCUUGCUCGUUGUUCGAUCCUGCAGCUUCUUUUCCAGUCGAGGGGGUGCAAGGGCCGAUGCUGGUUCUCAGACCCUGGUCAGAUGCCGAUGUGACGAAGGCAAUGAGCCACGUCUGCAGUCCCAAGGACAAUAUUGCUAAGUUGGAGACUGAUUUUCAGCAAUUUGUCAGAAAAUACCAUCCUAGCAUGUCAGAGCUGCGGCGUCUGAUGUGCAGACUUCUGACACAUGACUAUCACAAAGUUCAGAGUGUGUUCAACACCACAAGAAUGGCUGCUCGCCUUAAAGAUCCGGAUUGUGAGCACGGCACAGAUGUGGACAUUAGAAGUGCUGUAGAUGCUCUCAUUGUGUUGGUAAAAGAACAAUUUCCUCUGAGACUGAACCUCCCCACCGUCACCUCUAUGACACAAGGGCCACAAGAAACAUGCAGCUCCUUCCUGGCACGCCUGACGACAGCUUUUGACACCCACAGUGGCCUUAAGCGACCUGAUCCAAUGGGGGCACAGCCCCUGAUGCCAUAUGAAGUCCCUCUGAAAGAACAUUUUAUAAGCAGAAUGAGACCUGAGCUUAUACGGAUGGUGAAGAGAUCAUGUGUAACCUGGAAAACCUGUGCUCUUGCAGACAUCCUUCAGCACGCUGAACACGCUGAAGAUGAGUUACACAAGAAAGAGGACAAACUAAAAGGUUUUGAACAGGCUCAGUAUGCAAUGUUUACGUGCUUGCAGUGCCAACAAUUUGCCCAAGGCCAACGUGGAAGAGGAAGAGGUUAUGGAAGAGAUCGUGGCAGAGGCAGAUCGGACUUACGGGAGUUAUGAUCCAAACGUGUGUUACAAUUGUGGACAACAAGGACAUUGGCGAGCAGAGUGUCCUGAGCACAUGAGGAUGAGACACAUCACACGUCUGACUGAGGAAGGCAGAGGGAGGGGCGGACCCCAGAGCCGGAGCACCCCAUCACGGAGGAGAAAGUAACACACCCUACACACACUCAUAAACGGAACAAAUAGCUAACACAACUGCACACACACACAUCUUAGAUUGCAUGUCGAGUCAUAUUCAGAAAUUCCCAUAAUUAACGUUGACGAUUUCUUGCUAUCCGGUAACACUUGUAGUUGACUCAAGAGCAUUUGGCAUUGUGUUUGAGCUCAACAUCAGAUGGCACACACGAAAAAAAGAAGAAAAAAAAAGACUAAAUUGCAAUUAUUUUAGAUGUUCAACUACAGUCCAAAAACCCUCCUGUAUGUAUAUGGAUGAAAACUACUGGCAUACCUUGAUGCAUUAAUUACUCAUGACCGUGUACAAAUUGCGCAUACACACACGGUAGAAGAUUACAUGCAUGAACAGUCAUUACAUUGCACAUCCUGUGUAAGCACAGGGCGAGAUAGAAGGUAUGCGGAGGUACAGCAUGACCAAAAGUUGGAGAAAGAGAGAUUAUGGUUGAAGUAUGUGUAUUGGUCAGAGGAGGCUGCUGCGGUGUCUGUAUCUCUCUCUCCUUCCCAAAGAAAAAAAAAAAAUGUGUUCCUCGAUUCUACUCCACAUUUCAUUGGCUAAACCAUCUCACUGGGAUACAGGAUCUUGGUCCAUGGUUGCAUGGGUGUGUCUCGGCCUAAAGUUCAGACCGGGUGCAGAGGAUCCUCAUGAAGAGUAUAGCGCUAGUGGUAAUGUAGAUCGCACUACGUUGAUCACACGAGUAAGUGUACACAGAACAGUAGAGCUCGUUGAGGAAUGCACACAACACGCAGACUUGUAUAGCCUCCCAAACAAGAAGACAUAAGUUGGUUUGUUUUUUUUCUUUAUUGGGCGCGGCUAUAAAUGGAUAGGAUGUCCAGUGGGUAACCACGAAAGUCAGGUGUAUUCCACAGAAGCGCUUAGGAACAUCUACAUAAUUUAUAACUCCCUGCAGGGUCGGCCCAUCUAAAUUAUGUGGCUGAUAUGAUGAUUUGCAGCCCAUCAAAAGAGGCUUGUAAAAUUGACACAAUUUGGCUACUUAAACAUUUGGCAGAGAACAGACAUAAGGCUUGCCUACGAAAAACUUAAAUUUGCUCUAGAACAAGUGACUUAUCUGGGACAUGUGAUCACAGCUGAGGGCAAAAUCCCUCUCUCCCAAACGUAUUGGGGCAAUUCAAUUGGUACCAAAAACAAAAAAAAACAAAAAAAAAGCGAAUGAUGAGUUUUUUGGGGAUGACUUCAUACUGUAGACAGUGGAUCCCUAUUUAUUCAGAAAGAGAGGCACCUCUCUCAUUCAUGGUCCACGGUAAAGGCCUCAGCGCGCAUGACAAACUGACUUGGACUACUGAAGCUGAAAAGGCUUUUCAGGACUUAAAGACUUCCUUAUCACAGGCCCCGACUCUGGGCCUGCUGAGACCCGACUUACCGUAGACUCACUUCAUAGACCAGAAGGACUGUUACAUGACAUCAGUUUUGUGUCAUCUUCAUGGAGGACAACUUAGGCCUGUUGCCUACUUCUCCUCAACACUUGACCCUGUUGCUUCGGGUUUUCCUCUCUGUUUGCGAGCAGUGGCAGCAGCCGAGAGAGACAUUUUAGCAUCAUGUGACAUUGCGGGCUUCUGUGAUGUCCCACUCAUGGUCCCUCUUACUGUCUCUCAUAUCUUAUAUGCCCAGAAGACUUCUCACCUCUCUGCUCAGAGAUGGUUCAGGUAUCCUACAACUUAAUGUAAUUGUCAAAUGAUGCAAUGUCCUUAACCCAUCUACACCUCUUCCAACUGCAGAUGACAGAGAGCUUCAUGACUGUGUCGAAGUCUUGCAGCAGACAUGCAUACCAAGGCCUGAUCUGUUGGACACACCUCUUCCCAAUGCAGAUCUUGAGCUGUUUGUAGACGGCUCCGCUUCUCGCUCACCAGACACGGGCAGCGGUCAGGUUGGGUUGUCAGUGGUUACAUCACACAGCACACUUGUUAGUGGCAGGCUUCCUUCACACUUCUCAGCACAGACGGUAGAGUUUGAUUGCACUUGCCGAGGCAGGUAAGGCAGCUGAAGGAAACAGGGGCGCGGAUGCGGCUGCGAAGAAGGCAGCCUCGCAGGGCUUCCUUUUCCCCCUGGCUCAAAUGCUUUCCACACCGACCGAUCCUAGUCCUUAUGCCGAUCUUUCAACACUUCGGCCUCUUGCCGGUGCACAGGAGCGUUCCCUGUGGCAACGAUCUGGUGACAUUCUUGAGGGCGGAAUCUACACAGGGCCGGACAGUAGGCCCUGUUUGCCACGUGCUCUCUUCCACAUUUUUGCUAAGUUGUCUCACGGAAAAGAUCACGUGGGCAAAGGGGGGAUGUGCACUGCUAUAAAUGAGCAUGCUGAGAUAUUGUGCUAACCUCUCCCCCUCACUGUCAGCACUGCACUGGGCAGGUAAAAGCGGCGCUUCCAUCCCCGGCUACUGCAGUCCAGCACCACCUGAAACCAGGAGACUGGGUCCUCAUUAAGGAUCACUGGAGGAAGCACUGGAAGCAGAGACGCUACACGGGGCCCUUCCAAGUACCCCUGACCACGGAGACGGCAGUAAGGUGGAAGGGAAAGCAACGUGGGUCCACGCCAGCCACUGCAAACGCAUCCCGGAUCCAGGAGGCGAAGGAGCACCUACAUCUGGUUCCGGUUAAGGGGUUGCAGAGUGGAGAGCCCUCCCCCACUGCAGGGUUCCAGGACACCAACGAGCCCGGUAGAGACGGCAGAGACGGCAGAGACGGCAGAGACGGCAGGGACGGCAGCCACCCGGAGAACAGCGAUAAAAGACAGAUCUCCAGCGCCAAAGAACACUCAGGAAGCAUGGUUGGAGCCUGAGAAUGAACAUGUGCAUAUCACUGAAGCUGGCCACAUUUGUGCUGAUUCCCCUCACGAUCAAUGAACUACAACCUCCUUAUGUGAACAUCACGGAUUCCAGCCUUCUCCACCUCUUCAAUAGAGAAUUUCAGGAAGUUUCCACUGUCCAGCAAAACAAUGCGACGAGACAGACUGUUUGCUCUACACAAUCGAACAUGAUGCAUGGGUUAAAAUAGAAAGUCACGUAAAUGAAAUUGUGUGUGUUGCCGGGUUGGGAGAAGAAUAUGUACUGUGUGGGUGCACGGAAGAUUUGGUUUAGGAGAUCCACCAUUCUGGUGCAGUAAACCACGAUCGUGUCAGGAGAUACCAGCCCACACUGGCUCCAGCAACUGGAGGGAGACGUGCCAAAGAACUUACCGGCCUGUCAGCGAGACACAGCCUAAAACAGUACCACCUGAAAUCAUUUACGAGGCUGUUAAACCACAGGCCCUGACCUCCCGCAGGCCAGAACAGCCCCCACCAAAGCAACUUGGAGGCGAGGGUUGAUCUCUCUCAAUUGUCCGAGAGGGGGGACUGAGAAGGAGGGUUGUAAAGUUUACAUGUCACGGCUGAGCUCGCCGCACUUAGGUCGCUGGUCAGUCCUGGACUCGGAGGAUUUUAGGACUCAGACAAACGACACUUGCACGGUGACUCUAAGCCCUAAAUAUGACACGAGUGGGGAAUACCGUUCUGGUGCGCUCAACCUGCAGACUGUACAACAGAACCAGCCCAUUUCACUCGGCUAGAUUGGCAGUAUGCGUGCAAGUAAGCCUAACGUUAAGAACUUCCAAACCGUACACCACCGUACAAGCAUGAUAAUAUUGCGUUGACUAUUAUGAAGGAUUUUGCUAACAAAAGGAAUGUCUAAUUGUUGGAUAUGUCAGCAUAUGCCCAUUUCAUCUAGAGCACCUAUGCUGGUUCCUGUUUCAUUCACGGAAGCCGACUGGGAUGUCAUGGGGUGGCCUGAGCUAUCUCAUCGAUUUGUGAGUAAUGAUGAAGACUGUUACACUCCUCCACCGCACACGGCGACAACAGCGCAAAGCACAGUUGCCUAUGAAGGUGAAAAGGGGGAAGUUGUACGUUUUGCAGUUAAGCGGUUCAAUCAUGAAAAUAGACCUAUAGAUAUUAAUUAAUUAAUUAUAGGUAUUAAUUUAAUAAUAUUAAAGUGAUGUUGGUUAGAUUCCGGUCCAUCCCUUAACCAACGUUAUCACUUCCUAGGUAGUUCCUCUCUAGGUACGAGUGACUGUAGUAAAUUACAUCAAACACAUGGUACUACAAAAUAGGAUGGCUCUGGACCUCGUUGUGGCUGCACAAGGCUUGGUAUGCAAAGCGAUUCAUACUGUAUGUUGCGCUUACAUCUCCGAUGCAACAUCAUCAGUUUAUGAUGUGGUGGCAGACACAGAACGGGGCAGUAAGGAAUUGCACGACCACGACUGGAAUCCGUUUGGGGAAAUACAGGCAUUUGUUGGAUCAUAGGGACCUUCUCUCUUCAAGGAACUGCUAUGGGAAUUAGGGGGCAUCAAUCUGUCUGUAAUUGUUAUAACCCUAAUUGUAACUGUUUUAAAGCUCUUGUAAGGAAGGUUGUUAGCACUCAUGUAUCAGUUGAACACACAAGUACUACUAUACGGUGUCCGGUUCAGAAAUGGACUCCAUAUCCAUACACCAUAUCUGGAUAGCUCUGACAGUGAUGAUGAGUGUGAGGAUUGUGUGUAACUAGACAGCAUGUAUGGUGUUAAUGUUUAGCAAGAGUUUUCAAAGUACUUAGAAGUUAAUGAUGUGAUGUUCUGAAUCUUCGUGAAUUUACACCACUGAUGUAUGCUCUAAGAGUUUUUUUUGUUGUUUAAUUUUCUUUCUUAAUUUCGUUUUGGUUGUUGUUUAGAGUUUCUUAAGUUGAUUCCUGAUUGUCAAAAAAUGACAAAAAGAGAGGGAUGUUGGGGGAAAAUUGUUGAGCCUGCGUGGGGUGAGGCUCUCAGGAAUGUGACCUUUGAUGUGAGCCGGUGACUUAAGGCAGUCCAGGGUGAGAUAAGACACAGAUGAAAACAUACGUGCCCUGACUGACCUUUUAGAUGUUGUUGAUUGUCUGGGUCCAUAAAGGGAGGGUCACAGGGUCACCCCUACAUCAUCUGCUACUUUUCCCACAUUCCUCUUGAGGGGUGGGCUGUCCUGAGGCAGCACAAACCCCCCUAAGUGUAUAAAACCUCCUGUUCUCCUCUUUGACUUUGUCAGAUCUUCCUGCUCCUUUUGGGGGAAGGAACAUCUGUCCCUUUUCAGCUGAAUUGUAGUCACUUGACUCCUGUCUGUGCUUACGACUUGUGCUGAUGAUUUCUAUAUUCUUUAUCUUUUGCCUUUACUCUAGUUAGUAAUAAAUACUUAAUCACAAAGCAAGCUCAAGAUACUUUUGAUUUCUCACAUGGGCGAAAUCCACAAAUUUCCACCACAGCCUCCACCAGUGAACUCGAGAACAAUGGUUCCUACAGGUAUUUAUAACAAUGCUUAAAGGUGUGAAAGUCAGUGUCCACACCUCUGGGAGUGGUCUUCUGGUGAGUUCAAUGUAACUCGGAUUUCGAAUGAUCCUUAGUCAAUAUCAGUUGUUGUGCAAGUAUUACAUGCAUGCAUUCCAGUUGAUUACAUUACAUCAAAUACAAUCAUAACUGCAUUGGUAUUAUUCUAUUACAGUUGCAGAUUUACAGUGGUUUUACAAUAUUGUCAUUACUUUAUUGAUUACACAGUUUCAGAAUCAUGGCUGUAUUCUGGUGUACACUAUAUGUAUUUUUAUUAAUUUUAUGAACCGGGUCGUAUAUUUGUUUCUAAUAUCCUACAGUACAGUCUUGAAGCCCAUGGUACAGUAGUGAGCACUUUGAAACAAUAAGGCCAAAAUGUGGUUGAACAGAGCUUUCCCAGCAGAGCAGGUACAUGACAUGCAUUUCAGGACCACAGGAACCUCUUUAGCAUGAAAUGUAACCUGUUAAAAGAAACAUGAAAAUAAGUCUCCGGCUCAACAAUUUUACAUUUCAUUGGAGUAAUUGAACAAACCUGUAAACCAGGUCUAUGAACUUUGAACACCUAAUUUAUUUUAACAUCACACAGCAUAUUUCUCAGCCUUUAUUGUCCUCAAAAAACCCUCUUCUGUUUUUAAAUGUCUGUCUAAAUGUUCUGCGUUGUUUCUGAUAUUGAUGAUAAAUUAUGUCUUUUGAGU
Gasterosteus aculeatus aculeatus (three-spined stickleback) is the source of this 8528-nucleotide long non-coding RNA. Lineage: Eukaryota; Metazoa; Chordata; Actinopteri; Perciformes; Gasterosteidae. The record is from Ensembl.